Pantherophis guttatus is the source of this 726-nucleotide non-coding RNA. Lineage: Eukaryota; Metazoa; Chordata; Lepidosauria; Squamata; Colubridae. The record is from RefSeq and is a predicted model, not a curated record.
GUUAUUCCGCCCAGGUUCACACCAGCCCUGUAAAGUAGGCUGAUCCCAAAAUCACCAGUUAUGCUCCAAUCAGGCGCUGAUGAGUGGCAUCUACCCUCUUUAAUAUAUUUAAUUAUUCACGUUCUUGGUUGAUCAAAUGCUUUGUGGGAAGCCUCCGCGCCCCUCCCCUCCCCCCACAAAUCCUAGAAGAAUGAAAUAUUUUGGGGGAAAUGAAAAAGGCAGGAUAUAAAAUAUUUCCCUCAACAUCUUUUUUACAUCGUGCGACCAAAACUGAAUGCAAUAUUCCAAGUGUGGCCUUACCAAGGCAUUAUAAAGUGGUAUUAACACUGUUAGAUAUGUUCGAGGAUCGUGCCCAAUAACUCCAUAGACAAAAUCCUAGUGUAUCAAGUAUUGUUUAUUAAUUAAGCAUCUUAUCGUUACAGGUACAAGUCUGGAACUGAGGCAGGACCGCAUGGCCGACCCUUAAGUACCCCUGGGGCGUGGCUAAGGGGCGUGCUGCGCAUGCGUGAGGUUCAUUUCUCCCCAGUCGUCGUGGAGUGAGGAGCUCAUCCAUGCUGCUCCCGGAUGAAGGCCCCAAUCUUCCGGAUGGGCCUUCAGCUCCUCUCCGGUUGGCCUUGCCUGCUCGGGGUCGUCGCGGAUCGUCGCCUGGAGCCUCGGAAAACGGUACAAGUCUGGAACUGAGGCAGGACCGCAUGGCCGACCCUUAAGUACCCCUGGGGCGUGGCU